AACUUUCAACAACGGAUCUCUUGGUUCUGGCAUCGAUGAAGAACGCAGCGAAAUGCGAUAAGUAAUGCGAAUUGCAGAAUCCGUGAGUCAUCGAAUCUUUGAACGCAUAUUGCGCCCUUUGGUAUUCCGAAGGGCAUGCCUGUUCGAGCGUCAUUAUCACCCCCUCAA
Molecule: ribosomal RNA, 168 nt
Filed under: Ascomycota sp. GX6-1C
Lineage: Eukaryota; Fungi; Ascomycota
Description: 5.8S ribosomal RNA
Rfam family: 5.8S ribosomal RNA
About the family: 5.8S ribosomal RNA (5.8S rRNA) is a component of the large subunit of the eukaryotic ribosome. It is transcribed by RNA polymerase I as part of the 45S precursor that also contains 18S and 28S rRNA.
Source: RNAcentral